AUGUUGUCUGUAGCUCUUCUGCUGCUGCUGGCAGCUGGAUCCUGUGUGAAGUGUGAGACACUGACACAGCCAGCCUCUGUGACUGUGCAGCCAGGACACACUCUCACCAUCUCCUGUAUUCACUCAGAUUCUGUUAGAGCAGGACCUGGCUUCCACACAGCAUGGAUCAGACAGCCUGCUGGGAAAGGCCUGGAGUAUAUUGGAUAUUACUGUACUGGAUGCACUCUGUAUAUGAAAGAUUCACUGAAGAACAAGUUCAGUAUAAAUGCAGAUUUCUCCAGUAACACAGUGACUCUGAAUGGACAGAACAUGCAGCUUGAAGACACUGCAGUGUACUACUGUGCCAGAAGAGACACAGUCACACAAAGUAUAUGUGGAGCUGUACAAAAACACGUCAGACUGUUAUUCACUGUGGCCAACACAGGAGGAGCUCUCACAUCACUGAGAUAAUAAUUUGUUUAACUGCAGCUGGACUAACUUCCUCUUCUAAUAAUUUACAUACUUGUACAUUUUGUGGUUGUUUUUGAAAAUAUUUGAUGACAAAGUUGUUAAUGAUGUAUUUUAUGUUAAACCCACAGAAUUGUUUAAUACAGUUAUAGAAAGAACAUUUGUAUUUUAUUGAAACUAUUAAACUGUCUUUGAUAAAUCUAUGUGACAAAGACACAUUUGAGUUUCCCACUUUCUUUCAGGAGCAGCAACUUUGGUGUAAAACUUGCCUGGGUAGUUACAGCCUGUUGUUACACCAGAUGUACUUUCUGACUCCCGUUGGACAAAGACACAACAGGUCAAGAAUCUGAAACAAAUCUUAUACCAUUCUUGCAUAUAUUUGUUUUCUGCAUGUGUGACUGGGGAAUUCUACCUAUUUUACAGUCCAACACUUUAUGCAGGUCUUUACUAAAAAUUAAAAAGUAAUAAUUCUAGAAAAAAAAGGAGUGUGGAUUUGAGAAAUAUGUGUAUUUUUUUUCUGUAGGAUAUAAUUGUCUCCACAAAUCUAUUAGCCCAAUGUAGCCUCACAUAGUUUGGCCGGCCAACAUAGGGGCAUAGCAUCGGCAGGCACGCCUCCCCUCCCCCUGUUUUCACUUCCGUGUUUUCAAAUUACACGCACUAUUUAAACGCAGAGUACAGGGGUAUCACCAAGCUGCUGCUCGGCUUCACUUGUCUGCGGGUAUAUGAUAGCUGCCUGGUAGGUGCCAGUAUUUGACUGUAGAUUUGUGGAUGUUUGAAAUUGUAUUUUUGGCUUUUAUUGUGUGUGUGUUCUUUUAGACUGACUACAGCCUGUUCCCGGUGUUGCGUGCUCCACGGCCCCUCAUGAGCUUCGAUUUUAGGUAGUUUUUUUAUGAGGUUCUAAAAGGGGUUCUUAUUAUGGGAUGUGUGCUCUAACGAAGUAUUUGUUUUAUAGACACUGUUGGCCACUGCUGUUUUGUUUGGGUUAAGUUAAUUUUCGUCUAGUUAGGGGUUCUUGUGGGUUGGGUGUCGAUAUUGUUUGACCCCGGUCCGAUUUUAGUUAUGUAAGAUACCCUGUUCUUUCCUUGUGUAUAUUUUAUAAAUUAAUUUGUUUUUCCUAGGGUUGGCGCGGUCGCCCCACUUGGUGGAGGGUUGGUGUCGGAGUUCCCCACUUUGGGCUCAUCACUCCUCGUGUGUUAUGGUAUUUUUGCACGCCCUCGUUUUGCACGUUUUAAGUUACCCUUAGGUUUUUUUUUAUUUGUAUGUGUGUGUGUGUGGUUCACGGAGCCCAGUGGAUACUCCGAUUCCAGGUGGUUGCUGCUCACACCGGGUGCGGCCGUGUGUAGCCUACCCUAUAUUUUAUAGUCUGUGCUGAUUUGCAUCGGUUUUUAGCUUGGACUCACAUACUUAUACUUUUGUAAAUAAAUAUUGUUAAAUUCUUUAAAA
Non-coding RNA from Boleophthalmus pectinirostris (great blue-spotted mudskipper), 1890 nucleotides. Lineage: Eukaryota; Metazoa; Chordata; Actinopteri; Gobiiformes; Gobiidae. The record is from the annotation of a RefSeq genome assembly.